UACGUAGGGUCCGAGCGUUGUCCGGAAUUACUGGGCGUAAAGAGCUCGUAGGUGGUUUGUCGCGUUGUCCGUGAAAACUCACAGCUCAACUGUGGGCGUGCGGGCGAUACGGGCAGACUGGAGUACUGCAGGGGAGACUGGAAUUCCUGGUGUAGCGGUGGAAUGCGCAGAUAUCAGGAGGAACACCGGUGGCGAAGGCGGGUCUCUGGGCCGAUACUGACACUGAGGAGCGAAAGCGUGGGGAGCGAACAGG
RNAcentral lists this ribosomal RNA (253 nucleotides) under uncultured bacterium. Its description in RNAcentral is "partial 16S ribosomal RNA". It matches the Rfam family "Bacterial small subunit ribosomal RNA", at positions 524 to 776 of the family's 1533-position model. The record is from RNAcentral.